RNAcentral lists this ribosomal RNA (460 nucleotides) under uncultured bacterium. RNAcentral describes it as "partial 16S ribosomal RNA". It matches the Rfam family "Bacterial small subunit ribosomal RNA", at positions 338 to 795 of the family's 1533-position model. The record is from RNAcentral.
CCUACGGGCGGCAGCAGUGAGGAAUAUUGGUCAAUGGACGAGAGUCUGAACCAGCCAAGUAGCGUGCAGGAUGACGGCCCUAUGAGUUGUAAACUUCUUUUGUACGAGGAUAAACCUCGGUACGUGUACCGGUUUGUAUGUACCCUACGAAUAAGGAUCGGCUAACUCCGUGCCAGCAGCCGCGGUAAUACGGCGGAUCCGAGCGUUAUCCGGAUUUAUUGGGUUUAAAGGGUGCGUAGACGGUUUGAUAAGUUAGUGGUGAAAGUUUGGGGCUCAACCCUAAAACUGCCUCUAAUACUGGUAGUCUUGAGAAUAGUUGCGGUAGGCGGAAUGUGUGGUGUAGCGGUGAAAUGCUUAGAGAUCAUAAAGAACCCCGAUUGCGAAGGCAGCUUACCAAACUAUAUCUGACGUUGAUGCACGAAAGCGUGGGUAGCAAACAGGAUUAGAUACCCCGGUAGUC